Molecule: ribosomal RNA, 557 nt
Filed under: uncultured bacterium
Lineage: Bacteria
Description: bacterial SSU rRNA
Rfam family: Bacterial small subunit ribosomal RNA
Source: RNAcentral
ACGGGUGAGUAACACGUGGGAACCUUCCUAGGGGUACGGAACAACUCAGGGAAACUUGAGCUAAUACCGUAUACGUCCGUGAGGAGAAAGAUUUAUCGCCCUUAGACGGGCCCGCGUCGGAUUAGCUAGUUGGUGGGGUAACGGCCUACCAAGGCGACGAUCCGUAGCUGAUCUUAGAGGAUGAUCAGCCACACUGGGACUGAGACACGGCCCAGACUCCUACGGGAGGCAGCAGUGGGGAAUCUUGGACAAUGGGCGCAAGCCUGAUCCAGCCAUGCCGCGUGAGUGAAGAAGGUCUUCGGAUUGUAAAGCUCUUUUGCCAGGGACGAUAAUGACGGUACCUGGAGAAUAAGCCCCGGCAAACUUCGUGCCAGCAGCCGCGGUAAUACGAAGGGGGCUAGCGUUGUUCGGAAUUACUGGGCGUAAAGCGCACGUAGGCGGGUCGUUAAGUCAGGGGUGAAAUCCCGGAGCUCAACUCCGGAACUGCCUUUGAUACUGGCGAUCUUGAGAUCGGAAGAGGUGAGUGGAAUUCCCAGUGUAGAGGUGAAAUUCGUAGA